GACGUACGCUGGCGGCGCGCCUAACACAUGCAAGUCGAACGGAGCUUAGAGAGCUUGCUUUUUAAGCUUAGUGGCGAACGGGUGAGUAACGCGUGAGUAACCUGCCCUAGAGUGGGGGACAACAGUUGGAAACGACUGCUAAUACCGCAUAAGCCCACGGUACCGCAUGGCACUGAGGGAAAAGGAUUUAUUCGCUUUAGGAUGGACUCGCGUCCAAUUAGCUAGUUGGUGAGGUAACGGCCCACCAAGGCGACGAUUGGUAGCCGGACUGAGAGGUUGAACGGCCACAUUGGGACUGAGACACGGCCCAGACUCCUACGGGAGGCAGCAGUGGGGGAUAUUGCACAAUGGGGGAAACCCUGAUGCAGCGACGCCGCGUGGAGGAAGAAGGUUUUCGGAUUGUAAACUCCUGUCGUUAGGGACGAUAAUGACGGUACCUAACAAGAAAGCACCGGCUAACUACGUGCCAGCAGCCGCGGUAAAACGUAGGGUGCAAGCGUUGUCCGGAAUUACUGGGUGUAAAGGGAGCGCAGGCGGGAAGACAAGUUGGAAGUGAAAACCAUGGGCUCAACCCAUGAAUUGCUUUCAAAACUGUUUUUCUUGAGUAGUGCAGAGGUAGAUGGAAUUCCCGGUGUAGCGGUGGAAUGCGUAGAUAUCGGGAGGAACACCAGUGGCGAAGGCGGUCUACUGGGCACCAACUGACGCUGAGGCUCGAAAGCAUGGGUAGCAAACAGGAUUAGAUACCCUGGUAGUCCAUGCCGUAAACGAUGAUUACUAGGUGUUGGGGGAUUGACCCCCCUCAGUGCCGCAGUUAACACAAUAAGUAAUCCACCUGGGGAGUACGACCGCAAGGUUGAAACUCAAAGGAAUUGACGGGGGCCCGCACAAGCAGUGGAGUAUGUGGUUUAAUUCGAAGCAACGCGAAGAACCUUACCAGGUCUUGACAUCCGAUGCAUAGCACAGAGAUGUGUGAAAUCCUUCGGGACAUCGAGACAGGUGGUGCAUGGUUGUCGUCAGCUCGUGUCGUGAGAUGUUGGGUUAAGUCCCGCAACGAGCGCAACCCUUAUUGCCAGUUACUACGUUAAGAGGACUCUGGCGAGACUGCCGUUGACAAAACGGAGGAAGGUGGGGAGGACGUCAAAUCAUCAUGCCCUUUAUGACCUGGGCUACACACGUACUACAAUGGCGUUAAACAAAGAGAAGCAAGACCGCGAGGUGGAGCAAAACUCAAAAACAACGUCUCAGUUCAGAUUGCAGGCUGCAACUCGCCUGCAUGAAGUCGGAAUUGCUAGUAAUCGCGGAUCAGCAUGCCGCGGUGAAUAAAAUGCCGGGCCUUGCACA
Molecule: ribosomal RNA, 1341 nt
Filed under: uncultured bacterium
Lineage: Bacteria
Description: bacterial SSU rRNA
Rfam family: Bacterial small subunit ribosomal RNA
Source: RNAcentral